This 694-nucleotide long non-coding RNA is filed under the name Panax ginseng (ginseng). Its description in RNAcentral is "long non-coding RNA (PGIN_LNC004436)". The record is from RNAcentral. Lineage: Eukaryota; Viridiplantae; Streptophyta; Magnoliopsida; Apiales; Araliaceae.
AUUAAGGUAGCAUUGAAAAGCCUAAGGGAAUAAGACAAUGCAUAGUCAUGAGAAAAAAAAUAUGAAAUAAUAAUAAUAAUAAUAAAGCGGGAAAAGUGCAAAAUGCCCCCGUCUAGCAAAAACAAGCAUAAGUAUUCCAUGUUGACCCUUGGACUUUGGUGAUUGUUUAAUUUUAGUUGAAUCUAGUUUAUUUGAUGAGUUUUUGAGUUGAAACUGUAUGAUGCCUAUUAAGAACUUUAUUAUCUUUCCUAUUCUGCUGUUCGUUAGUUAGCAUGAUUGUUGAACACACAUUCACAAUAUCAGUAAUAACAGAUUUAGAUUCAUUGAUUGUUGGGAUAUUAUUGAUCUGCUUUAUCAUGAUGCAUUAUCAUGUUUUUGUGAUUUUUCUAAGGCCUAUGGAUAUACGUGAGCUAUUAGAUUACUGGGAUUAAGUUUGUUUAGUUAGUUUGCAUUUGCAUGAGAGUUAGUUUUUGUAUUAUUUUGUGUUGUUAUGUUUUGUUGCCUGAGGACAUGCAACAAUUUAAGUUUGGGGUAUUUGAUGAUUGGGUUAUAUACCCAUGAAUCGGAUACUUUUGGGUUUAAAUUAUUGCAUUCUCAAGGUAUUUAGGUUCAUUUUUACUGUGUUUAUGUUUUGAUUUGAAGAUUUGGGAGUUUUGGGAGGUUUGGGAGCAUUUGGGCUAAAAAUGUUUAUGAG